RNAcentral lists this long non-coding RNA (866 nucleotides) under Gallus gallus (chicken). Its description in RNAcentral is "lncRNA (ENSGALG00010016210.1)". The record is from RNAcentral. Lineage: Eukaryota; Metazoa; Chordata; Aves; Galliformes; Phasianidae.
UGUGUGUGCGCGUGUAUCUCUGUGGGGGCGGGUGUGGAGUUCCGACCAGCGGCACCGUCCUCCCGCGAGGGAAACGGCCGGAGAGGAACGAAGCGAAGCGAGUGACAGCAAUGAUCGUUUGUUUGUUUGUUCUCAUGUGUCAUUGUAAUCGCACGGGAAGAAUUGCUAUGCGCAGGCGCAUGGGAUGCUACUAAAUACAGUGCUCAGGCGGGAGUAGGAAUAAGAAGUCGCACUUGUAGAAGAUAGACGAGUAAAUGAGAUUCUGGGAUUGGGAUGAAGAAAGGGAGCAACGAUCGGAGCAUUUGCAUUUGUUUAAGAGAUUCUCCACUGGAGCCAAAGUGGGAAGGACCCUAUCAAGUCCUUCUAACUACGCACAUGGUAGUCAAGGUGAAAGGGUUGGUCCCGUGGAUACAUCAUACCUGUGUGAAGGAAGUGUCUCAACCGCACUGGACCUGGGCAAAUCAAACGGAACAAGACUCCUGCAUUGCAGUCAACAACAGAUCCUUUCCAAACACGCCUCGCUGGGAUUUUCAACGGUCUGCACUUUGAAAUUAUGUGGGAAACGGGGAGCAUUCUUUUGUGGUGAGAAAAACAUAGGUGCCAGACUCCUUGUCGGCAAGACAACGAGGAAGAGUGUUUACUUCAUCCCAAGGGACCAGAUGGGGAUGCGACCAUCCAGAGGAGAAUACAAUGCGUGCGCCGGAGGGGAGGGACUUGAUUAAUGAAUACGUAGUGGGGUUCAACGUAAUGUAUGAACUUGACUUACAAAUAUGUAACAUUUCUGUGGACCGGUAUGCAAGUUAGGAGGAGCUAUCCCCCUUGCAUCCAGCUUUGCGCAGCGUUGAUUAAAACAUACCUGAUUUUAU